GCUGAUGCUUUAUCAUAGAUUACAGGGAAAGCCUGGGCGGUAGUGGCGCUUAUGAAGCGUUAUUACCGUUUACAUA
RNAcentral lists this non-coding RNA (76 nucleotides) under unclassified sequences. Its description in RNAcentral is "COG2827 RNA". It matches the Rfam family "COG2827 RNA". From Rfam's summary of the family: Clostridiales. Nearby to self-splicing intron genes The record is from Rfam by way of RNAcentral.